CCGGAUGUUAGCGGCGGACGGGUGAGUAACACGUGGGUAACCUGCCUGUAAGACUGGGAUAACUCCGGGAAACCGGAGCUAAUACCGGAUAGUUCCUUGAACCGCAUGGUUCAAGGAUGAAAGACGGUUUCGGCUGUCACUUACAGAUGGACCCGCGGCGCAUUAGCUAGUUGGUGAGGUAACGGCUCACCAAGGCGACGAUGCGUAGCCGACCUGAGAGGGUGAUCGGCCACACUGGGACUGAGACACGGCCCAGACUCCUACGGGAGGCAGCAGUAGGGAAUCUUCC
RNAcentral lists this ribosomal RNA (289 nucleotides) under Bacillus pumilus. RNAcentral's name for it is "partial 16S ribosomal RNA". It matches the Rfam family "Bacterial small subunit ribosomal RNA", at positions 85 to 367 of the family's 1533-position model. The record is from RNAcentral. Lineage: Bacteria; Bacillati; Bacillota; Bacilli; Caryophanales; Bacillaceae.